Molecule: non-coding RNA, 115 nt
Filed under: Clostridium tetani
Lineage: Bacteria; Bacillati; Bacillota; Clostridia; Eubacteriales; Clostridiaceae
Also listed under: 1 other name
Description: TPP sequence
Rfam family: TPP riboswitch aptamer (THI element)
About the family: Vitamin B(1) in its active form thiamin pyrophosphate (TPP) is an essential coenzyme that is synthesised by coupling of pyrimidine and thiazole moieties in bacteria. The previously detected thiamin-regulatory element, thi box was extended, resulting in a new, highly conserved RNA secondary structure, the THI element, which is widely distributed in eubacteria and also occurs in some archaea.
Source: RNAcentral
AUGUAGUGCUAGGGGUGCUAUAUAAGAGCUGAGAAAUGAAUUAUUUAUGAUCAAUUCAUUAACCCUUGUACCUGAACUAGAUAAUUCUAGCGUAGGGAAGCCUUUUAUAGAUAUA